This 2702-nucleotide long non-coding RNA is filed under the name Pan troglodytes (chimpanzee). RNAcentral's name for it is "long non-coding RNA NONPTRT009622". The record is from RNAcentral. Lineage: Eukaryota; Metazoa; Chordata; Mammalia; Primates; Hominidae.
UUUUCCUUUUUGCGCGCGUAUGUAUGUGUGUGCGCGCAAAGUAUCUCUAUCUAGGGAAUGAAAAAUGGGCGCUGGCGGCCGGAGGGGAGCCCUAUGGAGGCAGCGGGGGAGGCUGCGGGUGCGCAAGGAGGCAAGCGGGCCGCUCCCGGCUGCAGGAGGAGAAGUUGCCACCCUUUCAGCUGUUCCGGCCUUUAUAAAGGAGAAGGGACAGUGCGAGAGACUGUCUUCUUGGACCUGGACAGGGUGGAACAGAGGAGGAAGGACAUCUCAGGUGGUCUUUACAGACCACUGCAGGCACCCACCCACUGCUGCCUACCACCCAGCAGCGUGGCACAGUGGCAGAGACACAGCCUGAAGACACAUCACCUUGGUCCAAAUCCUGGAGUGGCCACUUGCUGGACAAGUGUCUGCAGGAAGGUUUUUUAACCUCUCAGUACCUCGGUUUCCUCCUUUAUAAACUGGAGAUGAAUUUAUAAACUGGAGCUGGGUGUGGUGACAAGCUCCUGUAGUCCCAGCUACUCAGGAGACUGUGGAUCGCUUUGAGCCCAGGAGUUUGAGGCUGCGGUGAGUUGUGACUGUGCCACUGCACUCCAGCCUGGGCAACAGAGCAAGACCCUAUCUCUAAAGAAAUAAAAAUAAAUCUAUAAUGGGAAGGAGUGAGAGAUAACAGAGAGGCAUGGCAAAAUUUUAGUGGUGAUGGAAAUGUUUGUCAUUUUUUAUUGUGGUGAUGGGCUUAUGGGUGUAUACGUACAUCAGAACAAAAUGUGUGCAGUUUGUUGUACCUCAGUGCAGUUGUAGAGAAUUUUUACCCUCCUCCUGGAGUGGUCUGGAGGCUCCCAUGAGGUCCUCCAUGUGGAGGCGCUCAGCAAAACACCUUAGCAGGAAGCAAGCGCGUGGAUCCUUCCAUGCAGCCUUCAAGUUCACUGGUGGCCCCGCACUGCUCCAGGCACUGGGGAGACAGGUGUGAACCAGCCUAAUGCAGGCCCCUGCCUUUGAAGAGCCCCAUUGAGAAGGACAACCAGAUGUAUAAACAGAUAAAUUAGGAGACAGGGUGACAAGGGAGAUGGGGCAGCGGGACGAGGAGAUAACCCCCAAACACUAGAUUUGAAGUCUAACGACUCAGAGAUAAAAACCGUGUUCCACCGGACAGCUGGGUCAUCUUGACCUUGACCUUCUGUGUCUUCUAUAAAUAGAAUGGUAACAACUACCAUGAUUAGUGAGCUGACUAUGUGGUAGCUAGUGUUUUUCUUACUCUACCUGUAGCCUCUCCAUGCUCCUGUGAGAUGUGUUAUUCCUAUCUUACAGAUGGGGAAAUGGAAGCACAGAGAGGCCAAGACACUUGUUCAAGGUCACACAGCCCGUAAGUGGUAAGGCCAGGACUUGAAUCUGAGCAGUCCAGCUACAGAGCCCACAUGCUGAGACCACCGUGCUGUGCAAUUUUCUGGCAGGUGAUGCUGAUGACAAUGAUGACACUUUUGACACAGCGCUUUGGUGAGCGCCACAUACAUUAAUAUGUGGGAACCUGCUCUGCCAGCUAAAAGUGAUGGACCCAUAUGAACUCUGACUUAGGUACAAGUUGGGGGAGAGGGAAGGCUACUCAGAGCAGCAUCGUAGAACGCCUACUGUUUGCAGACCCUGUGUGAAGCGCUGAGAAAUGGAAUGAGGAAGGAGUCCCAGCCUCGGCACUCAGGGACUUCCCAUGCUCUCAGUGAGAUAGACACAAAUCAUUGCAGUGCAGGUGCCAGUACAUGGGUUAGAAGUGGCAGAAGAGGGCCCAGCAGACACCUGGGCCUGAAUGCUACGUGACACCUGCGUGACACCUGGGCCUGAAUGUUGUGCUAAGGGCUCCUUUCUUGUACCUUCUCCGUGCAGAGGAACAGUCUGUAAAGAACACCUCCCCAGGCGCGGUGGCUCACCCCUGUAUUCCCAGCAAUUUGGGAGGCUGAGGCCAGAGGAUCACGUGCAGCCAGGAGUUCGAGACCAGCCUCAGCAACAUAGCGAGAUCCCAUCUCUUAAAAAAAAUUACCAAAAAAAAAAAAAAAUCUAUCUAUCUAUCUGUCUAUCUAUCUAUAUCUGAGUGUGGCCCCAGCUACUCAGGAGGCUGAGUCAGGAGGGAGAAUCCCCUGAGCCCAGGAGUUCAAGACUGCAGUGAGCCAUCUCAGAGACGGGGUCUCGGUCUGUCGCCGAGGCUGGAGUGCCGUGGUGCGAUCUCUUCUCACUGCAACCUCUGCCUCCCAGGUUCAAGCGAUUCUCCUGCCUCAGCCUCCCGAGUAGCUGAGACCACAGGCCCCUGCCACCAUGCCCAGCUAAUUUUUGUAUUUUUAGUAGAGACGGUUUCACCAUGUUGGCCAGGGUGCUUUCGAUCUCCUGACCUCAAGUGAUCUGCCCCACUCAGCCUCCCAAAGUGCUGGGAUUACAAGCAUGAACCACCACACCCAGCCUAAAAAUUUUUUUUUAAUAACACCUGCUCGUCUGCCUCCUGCCAGGCUGGGUGUAGCAGGCACCUCCUCCAGAAGGCCUACCAGGCUUGGCACUUGUUCCAGGCUCCACAGCAUGCACACCUGGCAUCGUCAUGGCCCGAUCAUCAAUCUAGCACUAGACUGAGUCCAGAGUGUUCAAGGGCCUCCUGCCAGCUCCUAGCAUACAGUGGCUGCUCAGGAAGUGCCGCUCGCUGAAGGAAUGAAUAAAUGAUUAAAAUCCUG